RNAcentral lists this long non-coding RNA (567 nucleotides) under Homo sapiens (human). Its description in RNAcentral is "HSALNT0392920". The record is from RNAcentral. Lineage: Eukaryota; Metazoa; Chordata; Mammalia; Primates; Hominidae.
UCCUGACCUCAGGUGAUCCACACACCUUAGCCUCCCAAAGUGCUAGGAUUACAGGAGUGACCCACUGCAUCCGGCCUUUUCACAGUGAAUUUGGAGGAGCUAGCCACUGACAGGAAGGAGGAAGGCGCUCCAUACAGCAAAUGAAAUUCAGAACUCUGGCCAGCCCAUCGAGAAGAGGGUAACAGGCCUGCUGGGACAAGUUGAGAGAAGACGAAUGAAGUGAGGACGCUGCACACCAUAAUCUGAAAUAGUCCUAGCGGUGGAAAAGAAGCAGCCUGCAGACGAGGCGGGCAGUGGGAAGUUAUGCUCUGGAUCAUCAGAAAAAUACAAAGGCAUAGCCACAAUUCAUACUAGUGGAGAGACCUCAACAGAGAUGGACCCACCCAAGCCUAGCUUGGAACUUGGACUCGGAUGGAACUUGGACUGCACAGACUGUGUGGCCCCACCCACUGGGGUUGAGGCUUCAAUAUAUGAAUUUCAGGGGGACACAUUUCAACCCAUAACUGCUUAAGAUGAGGCUCACAGGCUGGACUGAGGACUCCUCUCAGGGUGCAGCACAUAGGAAAC